UUCAAAUCCUCAUCAUAGAGAGCAAAGAUAUAGGUAUCGACUGAUAUGCCAGGCAUCAAUGGAGUGCCAACCAUAGACCUCAAGUGGUUUAUCAAGUUACCAUUAUAAGCUUUUGCAUUAUCCAUACUAGGGCCUACUUCAUUUGGAUCUCCCUUGUAUGGCCACCCUGUCUCUGCAACCACAAUUUGAAUUUCCUUAAAUCCCCACGCAUUCAGGGCUGAACGUACAGCGUCAACCUGUGCAUCAAACAUAUUCAUGUAUUUGAUACCGUUGCCUGAAUCGACCCGGCCAGCAUUUGGUUGGAAGAGACAGAAUGCCAAAGUUUCAGGUCUUGGAUCACUCUGAUAUGCAAAGAAUGGGUAUGGAUUGAUCAUCAGAGGUGAACCAUUGUCCUUGUGAAAUUGCAGCAGAGCUUUCAGUGUGUCCCCAAAUACAGGACUGAAUAACCCGGAAGAAGGCGGGUCGGACUGGGACAAAAUGGACAUGGCGUGUACCGUUGAUACUUUGAUUCUACCACCAAGGGAAGCAGCAUUGAGGGCGUUUUGGACAUUUUGCAUGGCGGGUAAUAGUUUGGGAAUAAGGUUCUGAUCCCCUGAGGUCACGACUUCGUUACCCACAUUCACCACAAUUAUUUUACUCGCCGGAUAGUACGCCAAAAUAUUGUUAUGAACCCAUUGUCCGGCGAAAUUCGGGUCGGCGGCAAGCGCCGGGAUAUCUCCGUUGGAAGCACCGAUCACAAUCCCGAUCCCGGUAUUCGCCAACGCUUUUAUGAUAGCCGGAUCCGCUCCGUACAACCUCACCUUCUGAAUGCUCGUUGAUUGAAUAAGUUUCACCGUCUCUGCCGGCGGCGGGAGGUUGUCGGCAACUUGGCCGUAGUUUACACCGAUAAAAGCCUGCGAAUCUGCGGGAGAAAGAGAUUGGAGUAAAACAAAGAAGAUAAGGAAGAAACUUGAGAGUUUUUGUGGAUCCAUUGAUGAAGUUUGUAUGUGAAGAGGAAGAAGGAGGAAUUUAACGGUAAAAUGAAUAGAUAUAUUUAUGAUGGGUGGGAGUGGGGUCAAGUGGAGUAGAUUUAACAAGUGAGGUUUGAGGGAAUGAAGGUGUGAACAUGUGUUUGUGUGCGUACUUCAGUAGAGUACAACACACAAAGUUUCG
RNAcentral lists this unclassified non-coding RNA (1152 nucleotides) under Hevea brasiliensis (rubber tree). Lineage: Eukaryota; Viridiplantae; Streptophyta; Magnoliopsida; Malpighiales; Euphorbiaceae. The record is from RNAcentral.